CGCUGGCGGCACGCCUAACACAUGCAAGUCGAACGAAGUAGCAAUACUUAGUGGCAGACGGGUGAGUAACAUGUAGGUAUCUGCCCUUUGGCCUGGAAUAACACGAGGAAACUUGUGCUAAUACCGGAUAAGUCUUUACGGAGAAAGCUUUAUGCACCAUUGGAUGAGCCUGCACUUGAUUAGUUUGUUGGUGGGGUAAUGGCCUACCAAGACUGUGAUCAAUAGCUGAUUUGAGAGGAUGAUCAGCCACAUUGGGACUGAGACACGGCCCAAACUCCUACGGGAGGCAGCAGUGGGGAAUCUUGCACAAUGGAGGAAACUCUGAUGCAGCGAUGCCGCGUGAGUGAAGAAGGCCCUUGGGUUGUAAAGCUCUUUCGUCGGGGAAGAAAAUGACUGUACCCGAAUAAGAAGGUCCGGCUAACUUCGUGCCAGCAGCCGCGGUAAUACGAAGGGACCUAGCGUAGUUCGGAAUUACUGGGCUUAAAGAGUUCGUAGGUGGUUGAAAAAGUUGGUGGUGAAAUCCCAGAGCUUAACUCUGGAACUGCCAUCAAAACUUUUCAGCUAGAGUAUGAUAGAGGAAAGCAGAAUUUCUAGUGUAGAGGUGAAAUUCGUAGAUAUUAGAAAGAAUACCAAUUGCGAAGGCAGCUUUCUGGAUCAUUACUGACACUGAGGAACGAAAGCAUGGGUAGCGAAGAGGAUUAGAUACCCUCGUAGUCCAUGCCGUAAACGAUGUGUGUUAGACGUUGGAAAUUUAUUUUCAGUGUCGCAGCGAAAGCGAUAAACACACCGCCUGGGGAGUACG
RNAcentral lists this ribosomal RNA (802 nucleotides) under uncultured Pelagibacteraceae bacterium. RNAcentral's name for it is "bacterial SSU rRNA". It matches the Rfam family "Bacterial small subunit ribosomal RNA", at positions 34 to 884 of the family's 1533-position model. Lineage: Bacteria; Pseudomonadati; Pseudomonadota; Alphaproteobacteria; Candidatus Pelagibacterales; Candidatus Pelagibacteraceae. The record is from RNAcentral.